This is a non-coding RNA of Schizosaccharomyces pombe (fission yeast), 850 nucleotides long. NCBI's taxonomy places the organism in Eukaryota, Fungi, Ascomycota, Schizosaccharomycetes, Schizosaccharomycetales, Schizosaccharomycetaceae. The record is from the annotation of a GenBank genome assembly.
UGAAACCCCUGGUCUGGUUUAAAUAUUUAAAUCAUCAACCACAGAGAAAGAUUUUCCUAUUAUUCGACUUGAAUUGAUAGCAAUAUUUCAAUCUGAUAACUGAAUUGAUUUUCAGACAUUAGAAGAACUUUGUUGACGUGGCUAUUUUGCUUGUAUCAUAUAUGAUGAGUCCAAGUGAAUCCAUUAAACUGUACGAAUUCCAGUCGCUGCAUUGAGGUACUGCGUACGAAAAACUGAUUGAGAAAAAAUCAGAUGAAAUUUCAAAGGGACAUCACGAAAACUAUUUAUGGUUUGGAUUUCUUCCUGGACUAUGCUACGUGGAUUUCCGCUUACUCAUUAUGAUAGCAAUUAUGUCUGAUGGCUUUAAGUCUCUUAAAACCGUGAAAGUAGAUGUGUCAGAUUUAACAGUAGAUUUCAUUCUCAGUUGUUAGCUUGCUAUUCUAUAAUUCUCGAAAGCUCAAAUUGAGAUUCGACGAGGAGAAGUUGAGGAGUUUCAAAGGGAUCUUGAACAAGAGAAUAACUUUUCUUCUGAUUACAUUCAAAUGAGUGACAUUACACCUGUAUACUAAUAAUUUGAGAAUACAUUCAAUAUGGUAGUUCAAAAUGGAAAAAUAAAUAAAAUACAAAUUCUUUAAUUUCUUUUGUUUUAAAGAAAAAAAAUUGUCACACCAAGGAAGAAUAUAAAUAAUAAACCUAUAAACAUAACACAAAACAAAAACAAGGUCGAUGCAAAUGCCAAAUGGAUACAAAAUUAACUAGAUUCAAGAAUUGUUAAGCCCUCUCGCGUAUUUUUUUCUUUUUCUAGUUCAACUGCAGAGGAUGAGGCGUACUCUAAAGGUUCAUUAGAUUG